Molecule: non-coding RNA, 32 nt
Filed under: Rattus norvegicus (Norway rat)
Lineage: Eukaryota; Metazoa; Chordata; Mammalia; Rodentia; Muridae
Source: RNAcentral
UAGAAAAACUAGACCAAAGGAAGUUAACAGGA